CAAACACGGAGCGGCAGUGACUAAAAAAGCCAAAGGCGAUGCUUCAGCCGCACUGAACACAUUUUCAUGGAAGUCCUGCCAUUUUAUGGCACAAGAGCCCGAGGAAACUGAGGUUUUGGCUUCUCUUUAGCUAAAGGGAAAGCCUUCUCGGGGCCUGCGUUGCCGCUGCAGAGGGACUUCGGGUCUCAAAGGUUGGUUUUACCUUAAUUUGGGAAGCAUGGCCUGCAGUUCUUCAUAGGAGAGUUUGAGUCCAAUUUCCGGGAUUGCAACAAAGAAACUGAAUUGAAGGUAGCAAAAUGCUGCAAGGAACCCAGGGCAAGGAAGGCCACGUCUUCAGCUUCUUUCUUAUUUUGUAAUAUAUAGGUGUAACACUACACACAGUCCUUCAAGCACUCCUUUGACCUCUUCCUCCGUGGUUUAUAUUUGGAGACUCCGAUGUUAAUCAUGUCUGUUCAUCUGCAUCUGCUUCCUCCACAAGGUAAUACUUUGACAUUUAUCAUAUUCCAGACACUUGUCUGGAGGAUGGUACUUUCUUCUCCUUCUCCUGUUUCUUCAGAAGCUCAAGUAAAUCAUAUCUGUGGAUACAACAAUGAAACAUUCAGAAAGAAAAUUGAGAGGUCCCUGGGUGGCCCAGGUGAUUAAGUAUCUGCCUUCAGCUCAGGUCAUGAUCUCCAGGUCCUGGAUCAAGCUCCUCACUGUACUUCCCUUCCUUAGCAGGGAGUCUGCUUCUGUUUCUCUCUCCCUCUGCCUCUCCCUACCACCUAUCUCCCUACCUCUCCUUACCUGUCUCUCUCUCAAAUAAAUAAAUAAAAUCUUUUAAAAA
Molecule: long non-coding RNA, 823 nt
Organism: Canis lupus familiaris (dog)
Lineage: Eukaryota; Metazoa; Chordata; Mammalia; Carnivora; Canidae
Exons: 4
Source: RefSeq, a predicted model, not a curated record